CUUUGAGUCAUAAUAAGCCAUGUCCAGCUCCUGCAAGGAAAAAGAUGCACAUGAGAGUCAGCUGCAGUGUUGACAACUGCAAAAAAACAGCACGAGAACUGAUAGACAUGUGCUCAGUUUGUGGUCUGUUUCCCCGACAUCAGUCCUGUGUUUCCUGUAUUCGUCGUCUUCCUGCCCGUGUUCCCAGUGCUUCUUUGGCAUCGCAGCAACAGAGGCGCAGCUGGGCGCAAAGUGAAAAAGAGGCUGAAUACAUUAUUAAGAGGAAUUCAGAAUCAGCGGGUUGAGUCGGAGUGAGCUUCGGUUAUGAGCUACUUUCAUCACCUUUAAACAUAGCAACAGGUGAAACAGAGGCAGAGAGGCUGAAGAGAAAGAAUUCUUCUCACAAUAGAAAAAGUCAGUAGUGCAAACA
Long non-coding RNA from Acanthopagrus latus (yellowfin seabream), 409 nucleotides. RefSeq lists it as uncharacterized. NCBI's taxonomy places the organism in Eukaryota, Metazoa, Chordata, Actinopteri, Spariformes, Sparidae. The transcript has 3 exons. The record is from RefSeq and is a predicted model, not a curated record.